RNAcentral lists this ribosomal RNA (858 nucleotides) under uncultured bacterium. RNAcentral describes it as "bacterial SSU rRNA". It matches the Rfam family "Bacterial small subunit ribosomal RNA", at positions 1 to 848 of the family's 1533-position model. The record is from RNAcentral.
UAGGUUUGAUCAUGGCUCAGAACGAACGUUGGCGGCAUGAGGCAUGCAAGUCGCACGUGAAAGUCGCAAGAUGAGUAAAGUGGCGGACGGGCGAGUAACACGUAAUCAAGCUGCCCUUGAGACAGGAAUAACUUCGGGAAACCGAAGCUAAUACCUGAUGGUCUUGCUGGAUCGCAUGGUCUAGCAAGUAAAUGAUGGGGUCCUCCGGGACCUGCUGCUCAGGGAGGUGAUUGCGGCCCAUCAGUUAGUUGGCGGGGUAAUGGCCCACCAAGACUACGACGGGUAGCCGGCCUUAGAGGGUGGUCGGCCGCACUGGGACUGAGACACUGCCCAGACUCCUACGGGAGGCUGCAGUCGAGAAUCUUCCGCAAUGGGCGAAAGCCUGACGGAUGACGCGAUGCCGCGUGGAGGGGUAAGGCCUUCGGGUUGUAAACUCCUGUCACGGGUUAUGAACGGCGUAGUGUUAAUAGCGCUACGAUUGACGUAAGCCCGAGAGGAAGCACUGGCUAACUCUGUGCCAGCAGCCGCGGUACAUACAGAGAGUGCGAACGUUGUUCGGAAUUACUGGGCUUAAAGCGCACGUAGGCGGUGCCGCAAGUGUUGGGUAAAAUCCCACGGCUUACCCGUGGAACUGCCUGGCAAACUGCGCUGCUAGAGGAAGCCGGGGAGAGCGGAACUCCUGGUGGAGCGGUGAAAUGCGUCCAUAUCAGGAGGAACACUGGUGGCGAAGGCGGCUCUCUGGUCCAUUUCUGACGCUGAGGUGCGAAAGCUAGGGGAGCAAACGGGAUUAGAUACCCCGGUAGUCCUAGCUGUAAACGAUGGGCACUAGUUUGGGGUCUCCCUGUGGGAUCCCAGGCG